CCUACGGGAGGCAGCAGUGAGGAAUAUUGGUCAAUGGGCUUACGCCUGAACCAGCCAAGUCGCGUGAGGGAAGACUGCCCUAUGGGUUGUAAACCUCUUUUGUCAGGGAGCAACGCCGGCUACGUGUAGCCGGACUGAGAGUACCUGAAGAAAAAGCAUCGGCUAACUCCGUGCCAGCAGCCGCGGUAAUACGGAGGAUGCGAGCGUUAUCCGGAUUUAUUGGGUUUAACGGGUGCGUAGGCGGAAUGCCAAGUCAGCGGUAAAAUCGCGGGGCUCAACCUCGCUCCGCCGUUGAAACUGGCGUUCUUGAGUGGGCGAGAAGUAUGCGGAAUGCGUGGUGUAGCGGUGAAAUGCAUAGAUAUCACGCAGAACUCCGAUUGCGAAGGCAGCAUACCGGCGCCCAACUGACGCUGAAGCACGAAAGCGUGGGGAUCGAACAGGAUUAGAUACCCCAGUAGUC
RNAcentral lists this ribosomal RNA (460 nucleotides) under uncultured bacterium. Its description in RNAcentral is "partial 16S ribosomal RNA". It matches the Rfam family "Bacterial small subunit ribosomal RNA", at positions 338 to 795 of the family's 1533-position model. The record is from RNAcentral.